GAAAUGCGAUAAGUAAUGUGAAUUGCAGAAUUCAGUGAAUCAUCGAAUCUUUGAACGCACCUUGCGCUCCUUGGUAUUCCGAGGAGCAUGCCUGUUUGAGUGUCAGUAAAUUCUCAACCCCCUUCCAGCCUUUGUGGUUGGCUUCUGGGGGCUUGGAUGUGGAGGUUCUUGCAGGCCUUUUUUCUUGGUCGGCUCCUCUGAAAUGCAUUAGCGGAACGGUUUGCGAUCCAUCACAGGUGUGAUAGUUAUCUAUGCCAGUGGGUUGCUCUCUCUAUUGUUCAGCUUCCAACUGUCCCAUAAUUGUGGACAAACUUAUUACUGAAUAUUUGACCUCAAAUCAGGUAGGACUACCCGCUGAACUUAA
Molecule: ribosomal RNA, 364 nt
Filed under: Lepiota sp. 24-722
Lineage: Eukaryota; Fungi; Basidiomycota; Agaricomycetes; Agaricales; Agaricaceae
Description: eukaryotic LSU rRNA
Rfam family: 5.8S ribosomal RNA (bases 1-105)
Source: RNAcentral